GAACGGAUUGGAAACUCCGGCCAUAGAGGGUGAUAGCCCCUUAUACGAAAUUAUCGGUGUGGAACUAAGCUUGCGACAAGUAGGGCGGGACACGUGAAAUCCUGUCUGAACAUGGGGGGACCAUCCUCCAAGGCUAAAUACUCGAUAUCGACCGAUAGUGAACCAGUACCGUGAGGGAAAGGCGAAAAGAACCCCGGGAGGGGAGUGAAAUAGAACCUGAAACCGUGUGCAUACAAACAGUAGGAGCAGACUAGUUCUGUGACUGCGUACCUUUUGUAUAAUGGGUCAGCGACUUACAUUCAGUGGCAAGCUUAACCGCAUAGGGAAGGCGUAGAGAAA
This 339-nucleotide ribosomal RNA is filed under the name Cognatundibacterium luofuense. RNAcentral describes it as "Undibacterium luofuense Bacterial large subunit ribosomal RNA". It matches the Rfam family "Bacterial large subunit ribosomal RNA", at positions 335 to 676 of the family's 2925-position model. The record is from Rfam by way of RNAcentral. Lineage: Bacteria; Pseudomonadati; Pseudomonadota; Betaproteobacteria; Burkholderiales; Oxalobacteraceae.